RNAcentral lists this ribosomal RNA (60 nucleotides) under uncultured bacterium. Its description in RNAcentral is "partial 16S ribosomal RNA". The record is from RNAcentral.
UGGCCUUGACAUGUACGGCAUGCUUUAGAGAUAGAGCUGUGCCUUCGGGAACCGUAACAC